UACGAAGGGGGCUAGCGUUGUUCGGAAUUACUGGGCGUAAAGCGCACGUAGGCGGGUAUUUAAGUCAGGGGUGAAAUCCCAGAGCUCAACUCUGGAACUGCCUUUGAUACUGGGUACCUAGAGUGUGGAAGAGGUGAGUGGAAUUCCGAGUGUAGAGGUGAAAUUCGUAGAUAUUCGGAGGAACGCCAGUGGCGAAGGCGGCUCACUGGUCCACUACUGACGCUGAGGUGCGAAAGCGUGGGGAGCAAACAGG
RNAcentral lists this ribosomal RNA (253 nucleotides) under uncultured bacterium. RNAcentral's name for it is "partial 16S ribosomal RNA". It matches the Rfam family "Bacterial small subunit ribosomal RNA", at positions 524 to 776 of the family's 1533-position model. The record is from RNAcentral.